GUAGGUGGCAAGCGUUGUCCGGGAAUUAUUGGGGCGUAAAGCGCGCGCAGGCGGUUCUUUAAGUCUGAUGUGAAAGCCCACGGGCUCAACCGUGGAGGGUCAUUGGAAACUGGAGAACUUGAGUACAGAAGAGGAAAGCGGAAUUCCACGUGUAGCGGUGAAAUGCGUAGGGAUGUGGAGGAACACCAGUGGCGAAGGCGGCUUUCUGGUCUGUAACUGACGCUGAGGCGCGAAAGCGUGGGGAGCAAACAGGAUUAGAUACCCUGGUAGUCCACGCCGUAAACGAUGAGUGCUAAGUGUUAGGGGGUUUCCGCCCCUUAGUGCUGCAGCUAACGCAUUAAGCACUCCGCCUGGGGAGUACGGCCGCAAAGGCUGA
Molecule: ribosomal RNA, 376 nt
Filed under: uncultured organism
Description: partial 16S ribosomal RNA
Rfam family: Bacterial small subunit ribosomal RNA
Source: RNAcentral